Molecule: long non-coding RNA, 1691 nt
Organism: Thunnus maccoyii (southern bluefin tuna)
Lineage: Eukaryota; Metazoa; Chordata; Actinopteri; Scombriformes; Scombridae
Exons: 3
Source: RefSeq, a predicted model, not a curated record
UGUAGAAAGGGGGAAGGGUUGUUGUGGAGAGUAGACAUGAUGUAAAAUAACUUAACUGCUUCAUAAAGUGCAGCAGUUGUUGGUGGGAGGAGGAGGGGUUGAGAGGAAGGAGAAGCUCCCAUGAGAGGAACAGGCGAGCUGAGGACUACACAAACCACGCUGAGUUCUGCGCCAAAAUCAACAUGAGCGAACCGAGCAGAUGCUGUUUUUGUUGCUGCCAAAUUACGCUGUUUUUGCUACUUGACCCUUUUCAUAGGCGGCCAAACAUGUCCGAUCUUGCAUUUUUCACCCCCGAGUUGUUGCCAAUCUUUUAGUUUACACUUCAAACCUUCAGUUAACAGCAUCUCCGACCACCAUCCGCUGAUUGAUACCUGUAGGGAAGUAAUCACACAAAGCAUUACAACCCCACAGAGUUACAGGAUGGCAUGAGAGGUCUCCCCUUGUGAUGAACAUGUAGGGUGACGGCUACAGUACGAGCCCCCCUCUCCACAUCUCCAUCGCUUAACCAAGCAGAGCUCACAGGUGGCUCUCUGCAGAGUUCAGGGGUUACCCGCAGCUUAAUGUUGGAAAUAUCAGCUGUCAGUCCACACAUCAAAGUAUCUCUAUAAAUAAACGCUGACUGUGCCCCUCAGCUUUCAGCUUCACCAGCUUGAGAGGGUGAGGGAGGUGAAAGUGGUGGAGAAGUACGGGGGGGAGGCUAUACCACAGAAUUGACCCGGGCCGGAAAUCACACUGUUUUCCUUGACUCUCAAAUGGGGGCUCUUUUGAACGGCCCAAAUGGUUGAGAAAACAAAGGCUGUGAAUGUCCAGCAUAUUUCAUAAUCAGACGUCAUACUGCAGCGCACCUGCACAAACAGCGGCCGCACUGUAGCCUCCUGUAGAGCGGCUCCCAUGCAGACGGCAACAAGCCCCUUGGAGGUUCAUGUAGCAGGCCGUACCAUGUUUGGGCUAACCCACGUUUGCAUAUAAAACUGAAGUUUCCACACAGAAGGAAAGCUAAAAGAAGCAGUUGACCUGGCUGAGCGCUGCAGUGCUCACCCACUUAGAUAAAGGUAUUAGCUGAAAUGGCAAGAACGGUGCGGCUUAAGAUGUUGAUGUAAAGUCUCAGACUGGUUACUGCACGUGUGCCUACUGUCUCCACAGCUGGACUAACUCAGCUGGAAGUCAAGCCCUGUCAGGUGUUGCUACACCCGGUGAACAAAAAGGCCAUGGCUGCUCAGAGUUGUAGGUAUGGAGGCAACGAGCCAAUAAGAGCAAACAGAGGGCCUGACACACACACGCACACACACACACACACACACACAUGCACACACACAGCCACAGCCAGUCACUCAAGCUAAUGGCAUGCUGGAGUUCCUCAAGAGGCCUGUGUCAGACCCGGCCACCACCACUACUGCCGGCGGCUUGGAAGCUUCACAUGGAAAACACAAACACUUCCCUCUACAGGCAAUCCAUUCUCCCACAGUCGGAAAACAUGAUGGGCGGAUGAUGACUGGGGAGGCUUAUGCAACAAGGAGCUCCUGCAGUUUAGCUCAAGGGACCAACUCAAAUGCAGACUGAUGACUCAGAGAUCAACUUGCGUCCUCAUGCUGUUCGAACAAGGCAGUAACCGUUACAGUACAUGGGGCCUAUUAUCACUUGGAUAAAACCGGAGUUUUGAGGAGAAAUGGAAAAAUUUUGGACAUGCAGCC